AUACGUAGGGGGCGAGCGUUGUCCGGAAUGAUUGGGCGUAAAGGGCGCGUAGGCGGCCUGUUAAGUCUGGAGUGAAAGUCCUGUUUUCAAGAUGGGAAUUGCUUUGGAUACUGAUGGGCUUGAGUGCAGGAGAGGUUAUCGGAAUUCCCGGUGUAGCGGUGAAAUGCGUAGAGAUCGGGAGGAACACCAGUGGCGAAGGCGGAUAACUGGACUGCAACUGACGCUGAGGCGCGAGAGUGUGGGGAGCAAACAGGAUUAGAUACCCUGGUAGUCCACACUGUAAACGAUGAAUGCUAGGUGUAAGAGGUAUCGACCCCUUUUGUGCCGGAGUCAACACAAUAAGCAUUCCGCCUGGGGAGUACGGCCGCAAGGUUGAAACUCAAAUGAAUUGACGGGG
This 397-nucleotide ribosomal RNA is filed under the name uncultured bacterium. Its description in RNAcentral is "partial 16S ribosomal RNA". It matches the Rfam family "Bacterial small subunit ribosomal RNA", at positions 523 to 918 of the family's 1533-position model. The record is from RNAcentral.